This 425-nucleotide ribosomal RNA is filed under the name uncultured Lachnospiraceae bacterium. RNAcentral describes it as "bacterial SSU rRNA". It matches the Rfam family "Bacterial small subunit ribosomal RNA", at positions 355 to 794 of the family's 1533-position model. Lineage: Bacteria; Bacillati; Bacillota; Clostridia; Lachnospirales; Lachnospiraceae. The record is from RNAcentral.
UAGGGAAUAUUGCACAAUGGAGGAAACUCUGAUGCAGCCAUGCCGCGUGUGUGAAGAAGGCCUUCGGGUUGUAAAGCACUUUCGGAGGGGAGGAAAAAAUAGACGUUACCCUCAGAAGAAGCACCGGCUAACUACGUGCCAGCAGCCGCGGUAAUACGUAGGGGGCAAGCGUUAUCCGGAUUUACUGGGUGUAAAGGGAGCGCAGGCGGUCCUGCAAGUCUGAUGUGAAAGCCCGGGGCUCAACCCCGGGACUGCAUUGGAAACUGUGGGACUUGAGUGUCGGAGGGGCAAGUGGAAUUCCUAGUGUAGCGGUGAAAUGCGUAGAUAUUAGGAGGAACACCAGUGGCGAAGGCGGCUUGCUGGACGACAACUGACGCUGAGGCUCGAAAGCGUGGGGAGCAAACAGGAUUAGAUACCCUGGUAGU